Molecule: ribosomal RNA, 476 nt
Filed under: Enterococcus faecalis
Lineage: Bacteria; Bacillati; Bacillota; Bacilli; Lactobacillales; Enterococcaceae
Description: bacterial SSU rRNA
Rfam family: Bacterial small subunit ribosomal RNA
Source: RNAcentral
GACGAACGCUGGCGGCGUGCCUAAUACAUGCAAGUCGAACGCUUCUUUCCUCCCGAGUGCUUGCACUCAAUCGGAAAGAGGAGUGGCGGACGGGUGAGUAACACGUGGGUAACCUACCCAUCAGAGGGGGAUAACACUUGGAAACAGGUGCUAAUACCGCAUAACAGUUUAUGCCGCAUGGCAUAAGAGUGAAAGGCGCUUUCGGGUGUCGCUGAUGGAUGGACCCGCGGUGCAUUAGCUAGUUGGUGAGGUGACGGCUCACCAAGGCCACGAUGCAUAGCCGACCUGAGAGGGUGAUCGGCCACACUGGGACUGAGACACGGCCCAGACUCCUACGGGAGGCAGCAGUAGGGAAUCUUCGGCAAUGGACGAAAGUCUGACCGAGCAACGCCGCGUGAGUGAAGAAGGUUUUCGGAUCGUAAAACUCUGUUGUUAGAGAAGAACAAGGACGUUAGUAAACUGAACGUCCCCCUGAC